UUCCAGAGCAAACAUGUGAGAACCCCUUAGGCUGUGACCAGGUCCACACUUUUUUAGAAAAUUGGGUGCAUUUCCUAUGAGGGCCCUGCCCUUUUUCUGGUGUACUGAUUAAUGUGAUUUUCUCUUCUUCUUCCCCCAAGUUCUAGGGCUGGGGAUGAGCUCACCAGCACCUGUGUGCCAUUCUGAAGACCUACUUCUACCUUCUUUGCUGAGGCUUCCAUCCAGGUGUCCCUCUAUCUUGGAGAUUUGGAAAUGUCUGCUUCAUCCAUAACCCCCACCCUCGGGCCCAGAUCUUGGCCACAUGUCAUCUAAUUUGAGCCCACUUCCAUCAACUGUGAGCUUCCUGAAUAAGAAGACCCUAUUUGACAGAGGAACUGGGAGUGAGUCUCUCUGUUCUGCCUCCCCAUCCUCCUCCUCCCUUCUCACCCCUCUC
This 433-nucleotide long non-coding RNA is filed under the name Phascolarctos cinereus (koala). RNAcentral describes it as "lncRNA (ENSPCIG00000032773.1)". The record is from RNAcentral. Lineage: Eukaryota; Metazoa; Chordata; Mammalia; Diprotodontia; Phascolarctidae.